UUACGGGAGGCAGCAGUCGAGAAUUUUUCACAAUGGGCGCAAGCCUGAUGGAGCGACGCCGCGUGGGGGAUGAAUGGCUUCGGCCCGUAAACCCCUGUCAUUUGCGAUCAAACCUGGCUAUUUAAAAGAUGGUCAGCUGAUAGUAGCGAAAGAGGAAGGGACGGCUAACUCUGUGCCAGCAGCCGCGGUAAUACAGAGGUCCCGAGCGUUGUUCGGAUUCACUGGGCGUAAAGGGUGCGUAGGUGGUCGGGUAAGUCGGAUGUGAAAUCUCGGAGCUCAACUCCGAAACGGCAUUGGAAACUACUCGGCUAGAGGGUUGGAGGGGGGACUGGAAUGCUUGGUGUAGCAGUGAAAUGCGUAGAUAUCAAGCGGAACACCGGUGGCGAAGGCGAGUCCCUGGACAACACCUGACACUGAGGCACGAAAGCUAGGGGAGCAAACAGGAUUAGAUACCCCGGUAGG
This 462-nucleotide ribosomal RNA is filed under the name uncultured bacterium. Its description in RNAcentral is "bacterial SSU rRNA". It matches the Rfam family "Bacterial small subunit ribosomal RNA", at positions 339 to 794 of the family's 1533-position model. The record is from RNAcentral.